Molecule: long non-coding RNA, 346 nt
Organism: Ostrea edulis (European flat oyster)
Lineage: Eukaryota; Metazoa; Mollusca; Bivalvia; Ostreida; Ostreidae
Exons: 3
Source: RefSeq, a predicted model, not a curated record
ACAGUAUAAAUAUCAACUUGUCGAAAUGAAAAAAUCAUUGAGUCCUCUGCUUCUGUGAAAUAGUAAACAAAACCCUGUGAACAUUCAACAUGGGCAGAAUCCUUCUCUUGGUUUUCGUUCUUGCAAGCUGCAUGGCCUUUACAGCUGAAGCUUGGAACAUUUACCCACGUUGUCCCAAGGGCACCUGGCAGGUAGGCACAUGCAAUAUCUGGACCGGAUGCAAAAUCGGUUAUUGCGUAACCUACGGUAGAAAGUAUGGCGUAUGUUGUAAGCGACGAGGAUUUUACUGAAGUCGUCGUUUCUGAGAUGAUUAUAAGUUGAAUCUCAAUAAAGGGAAUGGUUUAAG